This 165-nucleotide non-coding RNA is filed under the name bovine gut metagenome. Its description in RNAcentral is "malK-I RNA". It matches the Rfam family "malK-I RNA". The record is from RNAcentral.
AACCGGCACUCCACAAUAUGCCGUUUCGACCGUGUAAAAAAGGAGGUAACGUCCGCUUGCUCGCGGUGCGGCAGUGUGGAGACCUGUCGUAAGGUGCGACGCCCCCCUGCGGGCGCGCACGAGGUCGUUUCGGAGGAGUCCGGGCGAUCGGAGCAAAACAACAUG